This is a microRNA precursor of Oryctolagus cuniculus (rabbit), 77 nucleotides long. Ensembl annotates it as microRNA 450a-2. Its record names the gene MIR450A2. The record is from Ensembl. NCBI's taxonomy places the organism in Eukaryota, Metazoa, Chordata, Mammalia, Lagomorpha, Leporidae.
GCUAAACUAUUUUUGCGAUGUGUUCCUAAUAUGUAAUAUAAAUGUAUUGGGAACAUUUUGCAUUCAUAGUUUUGUAU